RNAcentral lists this ribosomal RNA (204 nucleotides) under Clavicipitaceae sp. RNAcentral describes it as "partial small subunit ribosomal RNA". It matches the Rfam family "Eukaryotic small subunit ribosomal RNA", at positions 1334 to 1562 of the family's 1831-position model. Lineage: Eukaryota; Fungi; Ascomycota; Sordariomycetes; Hypocreales; Clavicipitaceae. The record is from RNAcentral.
AACGAGACCUUAACCUGCUAAAUAGCCCGUAUUGCUUUGGCAGUCCGCUGACACAUUAGAGGGACUAUCGGCUCAAGCCGAUGGAAGUUUGAGGCAAUAACAGGUCUGUGAUGCCCUUAGAUGUUCUGGGCCGCACGCGCGCCCCCAUGACGGAGCCAGCGAGUACUCCCUUGGACUUCCUGCCUGGGUAAUCUUGUGAAACUC